UUUAUUUAUUGCUUGUUUUCUCUGACUUUACAUAAUAUAGAGUAUGAAACUCCGGCAAGCACGCAUCGACCUCCAUCGAUGACCGUGCGACCAGUGUCUUGCCGAAGCAACACCACAUGUUCAAGGGUGGGAGUUCCUGCAGAGCAGGAGGACUCGGUAAUGAUCCUUCCGCAGGUUCACCUACGGAAA
This 189-nucleotide unclassified non-coding RNA is filed under the name uncultured fungus. RNAcentral describes it as "sequence contains ITS1". Lineage: Eukaryota; Fungi. The record is from RNAcentral.